CUCUGUGACUCCUACGGGAGGCAGCAGUGGGGAAUAUUGCACAAUGGGGGAAACCCUGAUGCAGCCAUGCCGCGUGUGUGAAGAAGGCCUUCGGGUUGUAAAGCACUUUCAGUAGGGAGGAAGGUAGUGUAGUUAACACCUGCACUAUUUGACGUUACCUACAGAAGAAGCACCGGCUAACUCCGUGCCAGCAGCCGCGGUAAUACGGAGGGUGCGAGCGUUAAUCGGAAUUACUGGGACGUAAAGCGCAUGCAGGCGGCCUGUUAAGUCAGAUGUGAAAGCCCCGGGCUUAACCUCGGAAUUGCAUUUGAAACUGGCAGGCUAGAGUCUUGUAGAGGGGGUAGAAUUUCAGGUGUAGCGGUGAAAUGCGUAGAGAUCUGAAGGAAUACCAGUGGCGAAGGCGGCCCCCUGGACAAAGACUGACGCUCAGAUGCGAAAGCGUGGGGAGCAAACAGGAUUAGAUACCCUGGUAG
Molecule: ribosomal RNA, 473 nt
Filed under: uncultured bacterium
Lineage: Bacteria
Description: bacterial SSU rRNA
Rfam family: Bacterial small subunit ribosomal RNA
Source: RNAcentral